UGACGGUUAAGAUAAAAAAUGCUAACAUAAGUUGUGUAUAAUGACUGUACUUGUAAUUCCUAUGAAUAUAAUAAAUUAUGCAUGUAAAAAUAUUAUGGGAUUAUUUGUUUACGUGAACCCAACUAAAUAAACACAUUAAGGAUCUGUUUGGAUGGUUAGACCUAAAAUCCUAUGAGAUUCAUGACCCAAUCAUAAAAAAAUAUUGA
RNAcentral lists this long non-coding RNA (206 nucleotides) under Elaeis guineensis (African oil palm). RNAcentral's name for it is "long non-coding RNA (EGUI_LNC068427)". The record is from RNAcentral. Lineage: Eukaryota; Viridiplantae; Streptophyta; Magnoliopsida; Arecales; Arecaceae.